Long non-coding RNA from Microplitis demolitor, 408 nucleotides. RefSeq lists it as uncharacterized. The transcript has 3 exons. NCBI's taxonomy places the organism in Eukaryota, Metazoa, Arthropoda, Insecta, Hymenoptera, Braconidae. The record is from RefSeq and is a predicted model, not a curated record.
ACUACCAACGUAUAAGUACUCCAAUCUGUAUUUAAAACUAAGCCAAUUUAUCUUAAAUUUGAAAGUUUUUAUAAAAAAAAGUUAAACCAUCAAUAAUUUGAGACAAAAAACUAAAAUGUCAAAAAUAAUUUUAUUAUUGGCAAUAUUCGCUUUAUGUAGUUUCUAUGCUUAUGGAGCCAAUGAAUGUCGCGGCGUUUGGUGUCAUCCUUCUGAAGGCUUUUCUUGCGAAUGCCCGGGUUAUGAAUGUAAUAACCGCUGGGGGAAAGGAAUUUGCCUGACCCACGAUGAAAUACUAAAAGAGAAAGAUUAAUAAAAAUCGAUUGAAUAAUAACUAAAAUUUUACUAUGACUAAAUGGCACUCUAUGGAUUUUGUAAUAUGACCUUAUAAUUGCGCUAAUAAAUAUCAUA